RNAcentral lists this long non-coding RNA (381 nucleotides) under Vulpes vulpes (red fox). Its description in RNAcentral is "lncRNA (ENSVVUG00000030288.1)". Lineage: Eukaryota; Metazoa; Chordata; Mammalia; Carnivora; Canidae. The record is from RNAcentral.
UUAAAGAAGACGCUUACAACAUUUGGCAUGUGUCAAAAACACAGCUAUUAUAAUUCAUCACUUAAAAUAGUGUGUCAUGACCUUGGGACAAUCAUCUGCAUUCUUUAACUGAAAAAUAAAGCUGUCAGCUCCUUGAGUCCUCCGGCCCUUUCCAAAGAUUCUGUGUGGGAUUCAGAAAAAUGCAACAGAAUCAGCUGCUGAAGCAGAUGAUAGUAAAGGGACAGGUCACUGAGAGGAAGGAGCCAACUGGAUUCUUUAGCUGCCACAGUGUUCCUCAAUCCGUGUUUUCUGUGUUGGAACCCCAUCGUGGCAAAACCCACAAAACCCAUUGCAAAGACAAUACUUAAAAUAAAAACAAUAUAUGUUAUCGUUAUUCCUACA